RNAcentral lists this ribosomal RNA (654 nucleotides) under Triticum aestivum (bread wheat). Its description in RNAcentral is "partial small subunit ribosomal RNA". Lineage: Eukaryota; Viridiplantae; Streptophyta; Magnoliopsida; Poales; Poaceae. The record is from RNAcentral.
AUGCGGGUGAAUUGUGCGCGGGCCGAUCCUGCCGAGGCGGUCCAUCCGAUUGGGAAGUGGAAAGGGGGGGACACGGGAAGAGGAGGCGCGCGCGCGAGGGGAUCCAGCGCCGCGGGCGAUAAUGGCCGGCGCCUCAUCUGCCGGAAACUGCUCGCAAUCAUACCUCAGUUUCUCAACGCUCAUUCAUGGCGAUUGAUGUGCCAAUUCUUUCCGCUGUCGAGCGGUACAUCUAUAUAUGCUUCCUCCUCUGGUCGCUCACCCUCUCUACUCCGGCAGCAAAACAAUCAUGCCGGGCAGGGUUCCCUGUAUUUCCUUAUUUUGGUUUUCAGUUCAUGUAUGAUUCAUUUUUGCACAAAGCAAUUACAUUUUCUUGAUGUCCUCUCAUACAAAAAAUUUGUGCAUACAGGUGAUGUUCAUGCUAGCGGUGCUCGAUUGAUUUCAUUUUGUAGCUUCGUACUGGAAUUUUUUGGUGUUGGUAAUCUCAAAUCUCUUUGGACAGAAGCAGAGGCCGAUUGUGCUUAUGAACUAGCAGUGCCUAAGGCCAAUAUGUCGCAGUUACAUACAGACCUAUCAGGUUCAUUGGAGUUCUGCUUGAUGGAACUUUCUGUUUGUUGCCACUUUUUCACUAUUAUCUUUUGUGCGUGGGUUUUCUGA